GCCGCGCCUGAAGCUCAACUUCCGAGGCUCUCAUCAAUCUACGCUUCCUUUGGAGCGUGCAGCCACCAGGUGGCAGCCGAGGCCACGGGCAGACAGAAAAGCUCCCGAAACUGAAGGACUGCCAGGCAGCAGAGUUCCGGAGGGCUCCCAGGACCUUCAACCAGAAAGAGACAGAGCAUAUGCGCAUAUCCCUGCAAGGAAUGUACUAUAGAGCCAAUUUUACCGGCAAAGGAAUGGAAGAUCUGAAAGGCUAGGCGAUCCCACAAGCAUCGAGGAGCAGGCUGGAAUUUGAACCAAUCGGCAUGAUUCCCAAGCUCAAGCUUUUGGCCACCCCUGCACUGCCAGGGACAAAAAAAAAAAAAAAAAAAAACCCUGGGAGGAGAGCCAAGCUAGGGAGUCAAGACCCUCCAGCCAGGUCUGGAUGGGAGGCAGGUGCCUCCACCCUGGUCCCAGAGCAAGUUCUGCUGGCUUCAGCCACC
RNAcentral lists this long non-coding RNA (479 nucleotides) under Homo sapiens (human). Its description in RNAcentral is "non-protein coding LINC00853:5". The record is from RNAcentral. Lineage: Eukaryota; Metazoa; Chordata; Mammalia; Primates; Hominidae.